RNAcentral lists this small RNA (175 nucleotides) under Yoonia maritima. RNAcentral describes it as "caulobacter sRNA CC2171". The record is from RNAcentral. Lineage: Bacteria; Pseudomonadati; Pseudomonadota; Alphaproteobacteria; Rhodobacterales; Paracoccaceae.
AAAUUUUUGAAAGGAGGUGAUCCAGUGCAUCAUGAGGUAUUGGAGAAGUGUGUCGGGACAACUUGUGGGGGUCGCAGCUAGGGCAGCCCUUGGCUGAGAAGAUCACAAGGUGGAGAUCCUAACCGACCCACCUCCGAAAAUCAGAGAAGGGCUAUCCCAACGCCGGGGUAGCCCU